AGUGAACGCUGGCGGUAGGCCUAACACAUGCAAGUCGAACGGCAGCACAGUAAGAGCUUGCUCUUACGGGUGGCGAGUGGUGGACGGGUGAGGAAUACAUCGGCAUCUACUUUUUCGUGGGGGAUAACGUAGGGAAACUGACGCUAAUACCGCAUACGACCUACGGGUGAAAGCAGGGGAUCUUCGGACCUUGCGCGAUUGAAUGAGCCGAUGUCGGAUUAGCUAGUUGGCGAGGUAAAGGCCCACCAAGGCGACGAUCCGUAGCUGGUCUGAGAGGAUGAUCAGCCACACUGGAACUGAGACACGGUCCAGACUCCUACGGGAGGCAGCAGUGGGGAAUAUUGGACAAUGGGCGCAGGCCUGAUCCAGCAAUACCGCGUGAGUGAAGAAGGCCUUCGGGUUGUAAAGCCCUUUUGUUGGGAAAGAAAAGCAGCAGGUUAAUCCCCCGCUGUUCUGACGGUACCCAAAGAAUAAGCACCGGCUAACUUCGUG
Molecule: ribosomal RNA, 492 nt
Filed under: uncultured bacterium
Lineage: Bacteria
Description: partial 16S ribosomal RNA
Rfam family: Bacterial small subunit ribosomal RNA
Source: RNAcentral